This 484-nucleotide ribosomal RNA is filed under the name uncultured bacterium. Its description in RNAcentral is "partial 16S ribosomal RNA". It matches the Rfam family "Bacterial small subunit ribosomal RNA", at positions 30 to 507 of the family's 1533-position model. The record is from RNAcentral.
AUUGAACGCUGGCGGCAGGCCUAACACAUGCAAGUCGAGCGGAUGAAGGGAGCUUGCUCCUGGAUUCAGCGGCGGACGGGUGAGUAAUGCCUAGGAAUCUGCCUGGUAGCGGGGGCUAACGUCCGGAAACGGGCGCUAAUACCGCAUACGUCCUGAGGGAGAAAGUGGGGGAUCUUCGGACCUCACGCUAUCAGAUGAGCCUAGGUCGGAUUAGCUAGUUGGUGGGGUAAAGGCCUACCAAGGCGACGAUCCGUAACUGGUCUGAGAGGAUGAUCAGUCACACUGGAACUGAGACACGGUCCAGACUCCUACGGGAGGCAGCAGUGGGGAAUAUUGGACAAUGGGCGAAAGCCUGAUCCAGCCAUGCCGCGUGUGUGAAGAAGGUCUUCGGAUUGUAAAGCACUUUAAGUUGGGAGGAGAGGCAGUAAGUUAAUACCUUGCUGUUUUGACGUUACCAACAGAAUAAGCACCGGCUAACUUCGUG